CCCGAAGUCGGUGGGGUAACCGCAAGGAGCCAGCCGCCGAAGGUGGGGUAGAUGAUUGGGGUGAAGUCGUAACAAGGUAGCCGUAUCGGAAGGUGCGGCUGGAUCACCUCCUUU
Molecule: ribosomal RNA, 114 nt
Filed under: Paenibacillus sp. VCA1
Lineage: Bacteria; Bacillati; Bacillota; Bacilli; Caryophanales; Paenibacillaceae
Description: partial 16S ribosomal RNA
Rfam family: Bacterial small subunit ribosomal RNA
Source: RNAcentral